This 17-nucleotide ribosomal RNA is filed under the name Polyommatus damocles krymaeus. RNAcentral describes it as "partial 28S ribosomal RNA". The record is from RNAcentral. RNAcentral also lists the same sequence under 4 other names. Lineage: Eukaryota; Metazoa; Arthropoda; Insecta; Lepidoptera; Lycaenidae.
UGGCCUCAGAUCAGGGA